RNAcentral lists this ribosomal RNA (500 nucleotides) under uncultured bacterium. Its description in RNAcentral is "partial 16S ribosomal RNA". It matches the Rfam family "Bacterial small subunit ribosomal RNA", at positions 30 to 523 of the family's 1533-position model. The record is from RNAcentral.
AUUGAACGCUGGCGGCAGGCCUAACACAUGCAAGUCGAGCGGAUGAGAGGAGCUUGCUUCUCGAUUCAGCGGCGGACGGGUGAGUAAUGCCUAGGAAUCUGCCUGGUAGUGGGGGACAACGUUUCGAAAGGAACGCUAAUACCGCAUACGUCCUACGGGAGAAAGCAGGGGACCUUCGGGCCUUGCGCUAUCAGAUGAGCCUAGGUCGGAUUAGCUAGUUGGUGAGGUAAUGGCCAACCAAGGGGACGAUCCGUAACUGGUCUGAGAGGAUGAUCAGUCACACUGGAACUGAGACACGGUCCAGACUCCUACGGGAGGCAGCAGUGGGGAAUAUUGGACAAUGGGCGAAAGCCUGAUCCAGCCAUGCCGCGUGUGUGAAGAAGGUCUUCGGAUUGUAAAGCACUUUAAGUUGGGAGGAAGGGUUGUAGAUUAAUACUCUGCAAUUUUGACGUUACCGACAGAAUAAGCACCGGCUAACUCUGUGCCAGCCGCCGCAGUAA